RNAcentral lists this non-coding RNA (177 nucleotides) under Candidatus Izimoplasma sp. HR1. Lineage: Bacteria; Bacillati; Mycoplasmatota; Mollicutes; Candidatus Izemoplasmatales; Candidatus Izemoplasmataceae. The record is from RNAcentral.
CAAUUGAAUAUAAUUGAUGGUGUCUUUUUGAAGACGUAACAGGGAAUUGAGUGUAAACCUCAAGCUGUCCCAGCAACCGUAAUUCGGACGAAAUGCAAAAUACCACUGCUAAUAAGCGGGAAGGUGCAUAGUAGGAUGAAAAUAAGCCGGUAGACCUACCAUUAAUAAUAGUUUUCU